GGAUAACUACGGAAAAGCUGUAGCUAAUACUUGCUUUAGCACUCUUGAUUAAGUUCUUGAGUGUGUACUUGUUAAGCCUUUUAAGAAAAAAGUUAUUAACUUAAGGAAUUAUAACAAAGAAGUAACACGUAAUGGAUCCGUCCAUUUUUAGUGUGUAUCAAUCGAGUUUCUGACCUAUCAGCUUUUGAUGUUAGGGUAUUGGCCUAACAUGGCUAUGACGGGUAACGGGGAAUUAGAGUUCGAUUCCGGAGAGGGAGCCUGAGAAAUAGCUACCACAUCUAAGGAAGGCAGCAGGCGCGUAAAUUACCCAAUUCUAAAGAAGAGAGGUAGUGACAAGAAAUAACAAUACAAGGCCAAUCUGGCUUUGUAAUUGGAAUGAUGGGAAUUUAAAACCUUCCCAAAACUCAAUUGGAGGGCAAGUCUGGUGCCAGCAGCCGCGGUAAUUCCAGCUCCAAUAGCGUAUAUUAAAAUUGUUGCAGUUAAAACGCUCGUAGUUGAAUUUCAAAGAAUCGAUAUUUUAAGUAACGCUUUUAGCUUAAUCCACAUAACUGAUACUACGUAUCGACUUUGUGCGCAUUUUGCUAUUAUGUGUUCUUUUAAUUAAAAUGAUUCUUUUUAAGAUCUUUUUUUGCUUCGGCAUUAGGAGAUCUUGUUACUUUGAGUAAAUUAGAGUGUUCAAAGCAAACAGAUAUAGCAUUGCGCGUUUGAAUACUACAGCAUGGAAUAACAAAAUUGAACAAGUCAGAAUUUUGUUCUUUUUUCUUAUUUUGGCUUAGUUACGAUUAAUAGGAGUAGCUUGGGGGCAUUUGUAUUCAGAUGUCAGAGGUGAAAUUCUUAGAUUUUCUGGAGACAAACAACUGCGAAAGCAUUUGCCUAAAAUACUUCCAUUAAUCAAGAACGAAAGUUAAGGGAGUGAAGACGAUCAGAUACCGUCGUAAUCUUAACCAUAAACUAUGCCGACUAGGCUUUGGAUGAAAGAUUUUAAAAUAAGAGUUUUUCUCUUCGGAGUGAAACUCUUAGAUUGCUUCCUUCAGUGCCU
This 1039-nucleotide ribosomal RNA is filed under the name Plasmodium fieldi. Its description in RNAcentral is "SSU rRNA". It matches the Rfam family "Eukaryotic small subunit ribosomal RNA", at positions 141 to 1088 of the family's 1831-position model. The record is from RNAcentral. Lineage: Eukaryota; Apicomplexa; Aconoidasida; Haemosporida; Plasmodiidae.